Molecule: non-coding RNA, 743 nt
Organism: Biomphalaria pfeifferi
Lineage: Eukaryota; Metazoa; Mollusca; Gastropoda; Planorbidae
Source: the annotation of a GenBank genome assembly
CUUGCAACAUUUUGUUUAUUUUUUUUUUUUUUUAAUUUCUCAUUCAACAGUUUUUUUUUCUAUGAGUAUAGUAAAGCAAUAUAAAACUUAUCUGAACAUAAAAUUCUCUAAUAUUCACACCAAAAAGAAAAACAUUUAUAUAAAUGCUAAAUAUUUAGCAUUACUGAAGACAUACUUUAUAGUCUUUAUAUUAGAUUUUCAAUAUUUAACAUUCUAAUCAGGUUUUGUCAACAAAAGCAAUAAAUACUUGGACAAGGUUUCUGGCCUUUAAAAAACAUAAGUACAGCUUUGCAAUAUGGUACAAUGAGAACCAAUAAAUAUUUGGAAAAGGUUUCUGGCCUUCAAAAAACAUAAGUAUAGCUUUGCAAUGAAAUUUUUAAACAAUUUGAAUUACUAAUGACUUGAAGGUGAGACUUUUUUUUCUUGACAUUCUCAAUACAUAGUGUGAUGACAGUCUCAAUGAUUAACAGAAUUCGUGCAUCAACGCUAGGUAAAAUUGAGAGGCAGUAGGCAUGGAUACCGGUAUAUAUUUCAACUUACAAGUGAAUAGUUAAUGUUGACUAUAUAAAGAUGCAAAGAAGGUAACAGGACAACUAUUGAUGUUUGAGAAUUAUUUGUUUUUAAAGUAUGGUACGAAUACACUUAGCAAGUGUGGCUCUGACAAUGAGAGCAGACAAAUUAAGAAAAUAUGUUGAGAUUUUACUAUAAAUGUCGAACUUAGUAAAAAAAAUAUGCAAAGACCC